AGCAAAGGGUCCGAAUACUAUGUAAAUAAGACUGUAAUAUAACAAAAUGAGGAAAAAGUGAAGGGGCCUGAAAACUUUCCGAAUUAACUGUAUGCAAGCACAUUCAGAUUGACCACACGGUGGUGCUACAACAGGUACUGUCAGGUGAAAUACUUUCACAUCCCAGGCUACAGAUGGAGAGACGGGUACGUUUGUCAUAAGGUGGCUACAGCUUGCACCACACAGAGACGGAGGCAGAAAGGAAAACAGCAAGAACAUGGAGGAUAGACCCAGAGAGACAUACAUACAUGUACGGGAUAAACACGGAUUCUUUGCACAUUGUCUGGAAAUAAUGGACAACUUGGUACUUGUUUAUUAGUUCCAGAUCAUGUAUAGAUCGGAGGCGUUUAUUCCACUUAUACCAUUGUUGACAAAGAAAACAAGCAAACAUUUACUAGUAAAAAAUCAAUGUUUUCAUUGAGAUUUACAUUUUGAUAAGUAAAUUCAUCCUAUUUCAUCCUUCCACUAAACCUGGUUCUAUCGGUUAGGUUGCUAGAGAAGUGGACUUGUUAGGUGCCGCCAAACGUCAAAUCGAUAGCUAAAAUGCCGGGCAAAUGUAGAUUCAACCCUGGAACAUUUUUGGGAUCUUUUAUUUUAGCUCGUGAAAGAUGGGACCAACACUUUUACUUUGAGCCUUAUAUUUAUGUUCAGUAUAGUUUACCCAUCUUUUUUACAACUACAUCACUCUACCCAACCAACCCACACUGUGUAAGGUGCCAAAAAAUGUGUCAGACUUUGGCAUUGCGAGAAUGGGUGAAUCGGUCCUGAAGAGCCACAUGAAGGGGAAAGACACAACGUUGCAUCCUGGGCUGGCGCCAGUUCUACAUUAUGUGACUUUUUCUCUGCAAGGUCCCCCAAAGCUUUUUUGGCAAUAACGAUAAUUUUUGCGCCCGCGAUAUUCCACUUUAUCAAGCGGCAGCAGUGUUCCUGCUGUUCACAUGCCGUUUUCCACACAGCCCACCCGCCCUUCUCCCGACCGGCGACACUAAAGCUGCCAGCCGGAAGCAAGACACUUUUUCGUAGCUAUUAAAUAGUAGAUUCCCAAAUGCCCAAUAAAAACAGUCCUUAAGUUAGAGUAAUGCAAAUUGGAAAUGUGUAGGCAUGUCCCAAAACUCUGCUCAUCACUACUCAAAUGACUAAAUCCUUGAAAAGUCCUUGAAUUUGACUUGCCACUGUCUGUACGAACCCUGAUGCAUGCUGCACAGUGCCGGUGGGUGAAAAUUGGAUAAGUUAAAAUACUGUGAGAUAAUUGUUGCUAUUUUUAUAUGAGAGAACUAGCUAGCUAUGUAUUUAGAAAAACAUAUGUGGCUUUGGCUAGCAUAUAGGUCAGCUGCAACCACUGUAGCUUUGUAGCUAGCAAUUGUUUCCUCCAUGAACAAAGCAAACUAGCUAUCUAGCUACCAACCUUAAACAAAUUAAGGCUCAAUAACAAUAGAGUAAGUAGUGUUGAUGAUUUUUAUCGAAAUCUUAGAAAACAUAUGAAUUAUUCAGUAGAUAAUCUAGCUAGUCCGGUGGUGGUCUGCACAUAGUUUCGUAUGCAUUCCUGUGCUUUCUCAAGUCCAGCUUUGCGACGCUUGCAACCCGGAACUACCAGAACAGCUAUGUUAACGAUUUUCUGAUUUGGUCUAUAACAAAUAGCGAACUGACUUUUAUGCAUGCACCCCAAAGCCAUAAAUCCAACCACGCUCUCACAAGGAUACCACUGGGAAGGAGGCAUAUAAGAGCAUGGGAGUACCCUUGUAAGAGAAUGGGCUAACUGACCAAUAGGAACCUAGAAACCGUUAUUGAUCAGGGGAUGCACAAGGGUGAGGUUUAUGGCUACUACAUGAUUGGCUAAGGCCACAAUCUAUCCAUCUCACAUGUAGAGGGAGAGAGGUGAGGAUGGGUGAGGGCUAGAAGUUGCAGUGCCACAAAACAAAUAAAAAAACAAGAUGCAUACACUAUGCCCACAGUACUCUUUCGUAUGUCUACUGUUUAUAUUUAGGUGCAGGAGCUCCACAAAACCUGUAAUAUUAUAUAGGAGGUGCAGGCACUCAAGCAGUUGAACAUGUUAGGUGUUGGUAUUUGCUCCUGCCCACGUCAAGCACUGUAUAGCCUACAUGCAUGUGAUUGUGUGAUUAACUCCCAGCCAUAUUGUAAUAAAUCCAAUUUCUUGUCCUGGUUUUGUUACUGUUUCAUUCUAAAUGGCCCUUUCUCUAUGUUUAUUUUAACCGGCAAAGCCAUAUAAACAAUAACAAUCUAUUCAUCCUUGCCAGUGGCAUAGGGCCUACAUAAAGCUGUACCAACUGCUGAGGUUUCUUUUCAGCACCUUGGAGUGAAUCCUUGCCACUGCUACACCUGGCUAUCAGCGGAGCCUUGUCUGGUAGCAAAACAGUUCAUUCAGCCUCAUUUACUGCAUUUUUAAAAAACAGCUGAUAUGACUGACUUGCUUAAACAAAUGUGGUUUCUACUGACAAUUGAGAUGUACAGACUAUGGCAUAAGGGGACAACAAGCGGACAAGAGGCAAGCCAUAAUUUC
Molecule: long non-coding RNA, 2557 nt
Organism: Oncorhynchus keta (chum salmon)
Lineage: Eukaryota; Metazoa; Chordata; Actinopteri; Salmoniformes; Salmonidae
Exons: 3
Source: RefSeq, a predicted model, not a curated record